GAAAGAGUUUUGAAUAGCAGAGCUUUCUACAAUUCAAAUUGCAAAAAAGCAAGUUCGUAAAUGGAAGAGAUGGGGACUUGUGCGUGCAAAUUAGAUUAUGCAUGCAUGCAUCUUUUAUUUCUCGUGUACGAUUGUGUUAUGUAUCUUACAUAUUUUGAUUUUAUGGACUGUUUUAUAUCUCUUGUGGAUUGUGUUUGUAGGAUGAGAUGGGGAUUGGUGCAUCCAAACUUUAAAAUGCAUGUUACCAAAUGAUUUCAUAUAUAGUCAAGACCUAUACAAGACUCAAUAUUUUUUACCAUGUCAACUACCUUCCAAUGUAUGCAGUAUAGAGAAAGAGUUAGAAGCAAAAUGUGCUACUUGAAAGGUUGAAUAUGCAGUUUGAGUGAAGAUGGAACAAAUGAUACAAAAUAAGCUGAAGGAAGUUGAGCAACAAUUCAGUUAUACAUUGUGAGAACUAGCAGCAUAUCUAUUUCAUGAGGAUGAAGAGUUAUGUUUUUUUAGAUGCGUAAUAAUAGAUAUAGAUUAUUUUUGCUACCGCUUUUAAGUUUAGAUGUAACCAUACUUAGUGAAUAAUUUUUAUUUGAAUUUUGGUGUAAUAUUUUGGAUUUAAGGUUACAUUGAUUGGCACUACAUGUCUUAAUUAA
Molecule: long non-coding RNA, 644 nt
Filed under: Olea europaea subsp. europaea
Lineage: Eukaryota; Viridiplantae; Streptophyta; Magnoliopsida; Lamiales; Oleaceae
Source: RNAcentral